CUUUUGUCCAGUUCAGGGCUGAGUGAGAGUGACAAUAUGUGUUGGUUAGGAAUAUUAGGAGUGACAAUAUGUGUUGGUUAGGAAUAUUAGGAGUGUUAAUAGUGUUGAAUAAGUCAACACACGCUGAGAAAUACAGGAUCAGUGGAGACUCAACGGAAUGGCUUCAAACAAAAUGUAACAUGGCUGCGCCACAACUUUCUUACAAGAACGUCUACUUUGAAGUGAACGAAAUCAGUGGCAAUCUACCGACCUCAGACGUUUGGAUAGGUUGUGCGGUCGUUCGGAAUGCACCAACAUACACAGUAACAAGUAUCGGUUAUUGCAAAAGUGUGUGUGUCAAUUCAACACUAUUCGGAAUACAGACAAGUCAUGGCCAAGAUAUAUUUAUAAUUAUAAUUGUAUACCUUAAAUAUAUUAUUGUUGGGUCCGAUUGGGCAAUUUAAUGUCCAAUUAACGUUACGUAUGCAAAAUCUGCUAUGAUACACACUAUAUAGGGUAACAGUCAGAUUUCAAUUAU
Molecule: long non-coding RNA, 517 nt
Organism: Dreissena polymorpha
Lineage: Eukaryota; Metazoa; Mollusca; Bivalvia; Myida; Dreissenidae
Exons: 3
Source: RefSeq, a predicted model, not a curated record